UCUUGUAGUUAAAAAUCACAAUAAAUCAUCUGAUCUCAGAAGCUAAAGGUAGGGCCUGGUUAGUACUUGGAUGGGAGACCACCUAGGAAGACCAGGUGCUGUAGGCG
This 107-nucleotide ribosomal RNA is filed under the name Pteropus alecto (black flying fox). The record is from RNAcentral. Lineage: Eukaryota; Metazoa; Chordata; Mammalia; Chiroptera; Pteropodidae.